This is a non-coding RNA of Triticum aestivum (bread wheat), 129 nucleotides long. NCBI's taxonomy places the organism in Eukaryota, Viridiplantae, Streptophyta, Magnoliopsida, Poales, Poaceae. The record is from Rfam.
AGACAACUUCUUCCGUCUCAAAAUUCUUGUGCUGGAUUUGUCUAGAUAUGGAUGUAUCUAAAACAUGGCUAGAUACAUCCGUAUCUAGACAAAUCUAAGACAAGAAUUUUGAGACGGAGGUAAUACCAU